GAUGAAGAACGUAGCGAAAUGCGAUACGUAAUGUGAAUUGCAGAAUUCAGUGAAUCAUCGAAUCUUUGAACGCAUAUUGCGCUCUCUGGUAUUCCGGAGAGCAUGCUUGUUUGAGUAUCAGUAAACACCUCAACUUCCAUAUCUUUUUUGAAAUGGGAGUUGGACUUGAGUGAUCCCAACGCUUUUCCUCACCGAAAAGUGGCGGGUUACUUGAAAUGCAGGUGCAGCUGGACUUUUCUCUGAGCUAUAAGCAUAUCUAUUUAGUCUACAUAAAAAACAGAUUAUUACCUUUGCUGCAGCUAACAUAAAGGAGAUUAGUUCUUGUGCUGACUGAUGCAGGAUUCACAAAGACAGCUUCGGCCGACUUUGUAAACUCGAUCUCAAAUCAAGUAAGACUACCCGCUGAACUUAAGCAUAUCAAUAAGCGGAGGA
RNAcentral lists this unclassified non-coding RNA (432 nucleotides) under soil metagenome. Its description in RNAcentral is "partial contains 5.8S ribosomal RNA, internal transcribed spacer 2, and large subunit ribosomal RNA". The stretch from base 1 to 120 matches the Rfam family "5.8S ribosomal RNA", at positions 35 to 154 of the family's 154-position model. The record is from RNAcentral.